AACGAACGCUGGCGGCAUGCCUAACACAUGCAAGUCGAACGAGACCUCCGGGUCUAGUGGCGCACGGGUGCGUAACGCGUGGGAACCUGCCCUUAGGUUCGGAAUAACUCCCCGAAAGGGGUGCUAAUACCGGAUAAUGUCUUCGGACCAAAGAUUUAUCGCCUUUGGAUGGGCCCGCGUUGGAUUAGCUAGUUGGUAGGGUAAAAGCCUACCAAGGCGACGAUCCAUAGCUGGUCUGAGAGGAUGAUCAGCCACACUGGGACUGAGACACGGCCCAGACUCCUACGGGAGGCAGCAGUGGGGAAUAUUGGACAAUGGGGGAAGGCCUGAUCCAGCAAUGCCGGGUGAGUGAUGAAGGCCUUAGGGUUGUAAAGCUCUUUUACCCGGGAUGAUAAUGACAGUACCGGGAGAAUAAGCACCGGCUAACUCCGUG
Molecule: ribosomal RNA, 433 nt
Filed under: uncultured bacterium
Lineage: Bacteria
Description: partial 16S ribosomal RNA
Rfam family: Bacterial small subunit ribosomal RNA
Source: RNAcentral